This 75-nucleotide transfer RNA is filed under the name Candidatus Omnitrophota bacterium. RNAcentral's name for it is "tRNA-Gln". It matches the Rfam family "tRNA". Rfam says of the family: Transfer RNA (tRNA) molecules are approximately 80 nucleotides in length. The record is from RNAcentral. Lineage: Bacteria; Pseudomonadati; Candidatus Omnitrophota.
UGCGGGAUCGUCUAAUAGUAGGACACGAGGUUUUGAACCUUGGAAUGUGCGGUGCAAUCCCCACUCCCGCAGCCA